AUGCAGAUCAAACAACUAGAUACUACGUACAGCAGCAGCAGCAGUAGUAGAUACCAUUCUAAAUCCACAAAUAAAAAGGCAUCACUAACAAACAAUAUCCACAACUUCAGAAAUGUUGGUCACUACUUCUACUUCCAUGUGGCUCAUAACAAAUUUAAACCUACUGCAGUUCCAAGUAAUCGUCCGAUAAACACCACUAAAAUAUCAAGUUGUCAACGUAACAUGAACAUGUGCCCAACACGCAUAAAAGACAAGCAGCCUAGUUACCAGUUAAAACACGCUCAUGUUGUUCCUAUAAAUGCGACAUUUUAUCAUCUAAAGCAUAGAAAGGUCUAUAUCAUUUGA
Molecule: ribosomal RNA, 345 nt
Filed under: Triticum aestivum (bread wheat)
Lineage: Eukaryota; Viridiplantae; Streptophyta; Magnoliopsida; Poales; Poaceae
Description: partial small subunit ribosomal RNA
Source: RNAcentral